Molecule: transfer RNA, 65 nt
Filed under: Margattea concava
Lineage: Eukaryota; Metazoa; Arthropoda; Insecta; Blattodea; Pseudophyllodromiidae
Description: tRNA-Tyr
Source: RNAcentral
AGUAGAAUGGCUGAAGAUGAAGGUAAUAAAUUGUAAAUUUAUUCAUGAAUGAUAAUUCUUCUACU